AGAUCUACCGACACGGGUGGAGCUGAUGUCUGGUUUCGAACAUCAUCGGUGGCGGUUCGUGUCUGAUUACUCGAUCCUGUCGGAGACUUAUCUGGAAGCAGAGGUUGAGAAGCUGGGUUGGUUCCGUUUACGACCGGAGAUUCAAAGGUUGCGUUUUUAGCAGCCGGAGUUCGUUUUUCCGGCGCCGGUGCUUGUAAAGUAUUGUUUUUGGCAACUGGGUUGGUUCUGUUUCCGACCGGAGAUUCAAAGGUUGGGUUUUUAGCGAUCGGAGUUCGAUUUUCCGGCGCCGGUGCUUGUAAAGUACUGUUUUUGGCAACUGGGUUGGUUCCGUUUAUGGUCGGAGAUCCAAAUGUUGUGUUUUUAGCAACCGGAGUUCGAUUUUCCGGCGCCGGUGAUUG
This 398-nucleotide long non-coding RNA is filed under the name Brassica napus (rape). RNAcentral describes it as "long non-coding RNA (BNAP_LNC012217)". Lineage: Eukaryota; Viridiplantae; Streptophyta; Magnoliopsida; Brassicales; Brassicaceae. The record is from RNAcentral.